Felis catus (domestic cat) is the source of this 85-nucleotide non-coding RNA. Lineage: Eukaryota; Metazoa; Chordata; Mammalia; Carnivora; Felidae. The record is from Rfam.
GCCUGGGUGGCUCAGUCAGUUGAGCAGCCGACUUUGGCUCAGGUCACGAUCUCUCGGUUCGUGGGUUCGAGCCCCGCGUCGGGCU